AACGAACGCUGGCGGCAUGCCUAACACAUGCAAGUCGAACGAGACCUUCGGGUCUUGUGUCGCACGGUUGCGUAACGCGUGGGAACCUGCCCUUAGGUUCGGAAUACCUCCCCGAAAGGGGUGCUAAUACCGGAUAAUGUCUUCUGCCCAAAGAUUUAUUGCCUUUGGAUGGGCACGCGUUGGAUUAGCUAGUUGGUAGGGUAAAAGCCUACUAAGGCGACGAUUCAUAGCUGGUCUGAGAGGAUGAUCAGCGACACUGGGACUGAGACCCGGCCCGGACUCCUACGGGAGGCAGGAGUGGGGAAUAUUGGACAGUGGGCGAAAGCCUGAUCCAGCAAUGCCGCGUGAGUGAUGAAGGCCUUAGGGAUGUAAAGCUCUUUUACCCGGGAUGAUAAUGACAGUACCGGGAGAAUAAGCUCCGGCUAACUACGUG
RNAcentral lists this ribosomal RNA (433 nucleotides) under uncultured bacterium. Its description in RNAcentral is "partial 16S ribosomal RNA". It matches the Rfam family "Bacterial small subunit ribosomal RNA", at positions 29 to 507 of the family's 1533-position model. The record is from RNAcentral.